UACAGGGGGUGCUAGCGUUGUUCGGAUUUACUGGGCGUAAAGGGCGCGCAAGCGGGACCGCAAGCCAGGAGUGAAAUCCCGGGGCUUAACUCCGGAAUUGCUUUUGGAACUGCGGACCUAGAGUGCAAUAGAGGCAAGUGGAAUUCCUAGUGUAGAGGUGAAAUUCGUAGAUAUUAGGAGGAACACCGGUGGCGAAAGCGACUUGCUGGGUUGUAACUGACGCUGAGGCGCGAAAGCGUGGGUAGCAAACAGG
This 253-nucleotide ribosomal RNA is filed under the name uncultured bacterium. Its description in RNAcentral is "partial 16S ribosomal RNA". It matches the Rfam family "Bacterial small subunit ribosomal RNA", at positions 524 to 776 of the family's 1533-position model. The record is from RNAcentral.